This 610-nucleotide long non-coding RNA is filed under the name Solanum tuberosum (potato). RNAcentral's name for it is "long non-coding RNA (STUB_LNC003403)". Lineage: Eukaryota; Viridiplantae; Streptophyta; Magnoliopsida; Solanales; Solanaceae. The record is from RNAcentral.
AAACAAACUCUAUGGACAAAAUUCUCUAUUAUUUUUUCUUCUUUAGUCAUUUCUUUAUCUAUCUUCUCCAAAACUUGAGAGAUAUUUAGUUUUCUAGAUAUGAAUAGUACCUUAAAAAAGGGCUAGCCCAAGAGUCCGCUAGACAGAGAUAAUCGGUUUGGUUUGAUUUAUCAGUUUUCUCUACACACCUUGUUAGAGAUAUGAUGAAGAAGUUUUCUCUUUUGUGAUGAUGGAUCAAGAAAAAUUUCAUAUCUUUUUAGUCACAUUCUCUAUUAUGGUGAUCAAGAAGUGGAGUUUUUCUUUAUUCUCAAGAUGAAGGAUAGCAUAUCUUAAUAUUAUUAUAAGUUUGGAAAGAGGCACACAUUAUGGAGCCAGGCAAUUUUUUUUAUUUCUGUUUUUUCUUCUUUUUUAUUUUUUUGCCUUCUUAUUUAGAGACUGAUCAAUCUCAAGCUCUAUGUUGACUAAUAAUUCUUGAACAUGAGCCAAGAGUUGUACUGAAGAAAUUUUUUGCUGAUAAUUUUUAUGUUGAUUAUUCUAUUUGCUAAUAUUUUUUAUCGAAAAUGAAUAUGAUCUUAUUAUAUAUGUACGUUUUAUUUAUUUAUUUAUUGUA